UUGCUCACUUUGGUAACACUAUGCCGAUAGGAAAGGUGCAGAGAACAUGAACAUCACCCCUGCACAAAGAUGACAUGCAAAUUCUUGAAUAUUCCAUAUUCCUU
Molecule: small nuclear RNA, 104 nt
Organism: Sorex araneus (European shrew)
Lineage: Eukaryota; Metazoa; Chordata; Mammalia; Eulipotyphla; Soricidae
Source: RefSeq, a predicted model, not a curated record